This is a long non-coding RNA of Misgurnus anguillicaudatus (oriental weatherfish), 1629 nucleotides long. RefSeq lists it as uncharacterized. The record is from RefSeq and is a predicted model, not a curated record. Lineage: Eukaryota; Metazoa; Chordata; Actinopteri; Cypriniformes; Cobitidae.
AACUAAAAUAUUCGCAAAGUAAAUAAUUAAAGACAUAAGUAUACGCAGUUGGACGGCAAUAAUAUUUUUUUUAAAUUACAGUAGUUUUAAUUAUUUACUUAUUUAUUUUAAGUGUAAUCCGUACUAUCAUAUGGUGGUGGUAAGAUGGUCCUUGUUUAGGCUAGUCUUGUCGUUUGAAAGAAGAAUUGGGCAUUUGAAGACCAGAUUGACUAAGAAAAGAGAUCAGCCAAAUUGAGUUAAACCAGCUUAAUUCAGAAAACAAGCUUAGAGCUUGAGGAACUUGAAGAUCUUGAGCUUGAAGAUCCUGCAGGUGCAGUGAUUUGGCCUCUAACCUUCGAGUUUUACAAGAAGCUGCUGCUGCUUUCUGUUGAACUACUGUAGAAGGAGAUGCACAAUCAAAUACAACUAAGCAAACGCUUUGAACUAAACACUGCUAACUCAACCAUCAAAUCAGAAAUUAUGAAGUUUCCAUACAACUGGCUGUCCAUAGAGAGAGCGCAUUACAAACAGGCUUGGGCUUCUUCGAUGGGACGUUUGCGUGAGAGGAGAGCUGUGGACGCUGGGAUUUGGGGAAAUGAAGGCUUUGGGAUUCGUUAUUAAACUGGUGCUGUAUCAUCCCUUCCAGACCUCAUGCGGUUCUCUCUGCAUUGCUCUCACGUCUGCGUGAAACGAACGUCAAACGGUAACUUAUUCACUACUUUAGGCAAUACUCAUAUGCGCACUCAUUUUUCUGUAUGAACUCUAUAGGCCUACCUUUCUCUUCUCGACAUGCCCCAAGGGACAAAAAUUCCUGUUGUUGUAGCAUGCGCGCUUAAAGGUAGUUGGCGAGGCUUAAGGUCGACGUUUGUAGUCCUCUGGUUUCGUACCAAAUCAACCUUUAUUCGACACGUCUGUUGUCUCGUAAACAUAAAUCCUGGCUCGCUUCACCUCCUAAUGCUCUCUCUUUCUCUCUGUGUGUCUUUAAUAAAGGUAUAAGUACAGAUAAACAGUCAUUAAAUAAGGUCUGGGUUGAGGUUGUCUGGCCAGACAGUGAAAGCAAGGAUCUGUUUGAUAGAACUGAACCAUUAUGCUCAUUAUGUUUUUAAAGAGAGUCUUAUUAAAGAGCCAUUAUGUGUACACACAUCAAACACAGCAAUACAUGCGUAUUUUAAUGCUUAGACAAUAAAGUGCUGUGUUUGUGUGUCGUGAUGAGUUGACCUGAGUCACUUACUUGGACUCUGAAUGCAAACGUGAAUCUUUUGAUCAUGGAGAACGUAUUUGCCUAAAAAGCUGACAGGAAUCACCCAUUCAUAUGUUGAAAUGUGGUCGGUUUAGUCAAGUCGGAUGAUUUGUCAUCUAUUGAUGUAUCUUGAAACCUGUAUGAUGUUUAUCUUGCAGAACACAAAAGAAUUAGAGAAUAGUAUGGUUUUAAUGAUCACAUGAAAAAGAUCAAGUAUUUGUAUAGUGUUUUGGGUAAAUAAAAUGAGGCUCGGAUGGAGAAUAAUGACAGAGAAACAGGUUAGGAUCCUGCUACUGAAAAGACCACAUCAGACCAGCUGGUUAUGCUGAUUACUGCUGGUCAAACAGCAUAGCUAUGAUGUUAACUAGACAAAAAUGUUGGUCAACUGGGUUUAUAUUUUAUGUUUUAAG